GGCUAGAGUGAAGGUAGUGAGUUAUCUCAAUUGAUUGUUCACAGUCAGUUACAGAUUGAACUCCUUUUUCUACUCUUUCCCCUACAGAACUUGACUAGUCCAAA
Cercocebus atys (sooty mangabey) is the source of this 104-nucleotide unclassified non-coding RNA. It matches the Rfam family "Y RNA". From Rfam's summary of the family: Y RNAs are components of the Ro ribonucleoprotein particle (Ro RNP), in association with Ro60 and La proteins. The Y RNAs and Ro60 and La proteins are well conserved, but the function of the Ro RNP is not known. In humans the RNA component can be one of four small RNAs -- hY1, hY3, hY4 and hY5. The record is from Ensembl. NCBI's taxonomy places the organism in Eukaryota, Metazoa, Chordata, Mammalia, Primates, Cercopithecidae.